AUUUCACUAUGUAGAUCCUUCUUUAGGAUGUGAUAGUUUGAGUAGAACUUAAAAGAUGGAAAUAGUUAACUCCAAUUUCACUAUAUAGAAGCUCUUUUAGGAUGCGGUGGUAAUGGACUCGUUGGCUUGGUUUUGACAUUAAUAUAUGCCUGUUUGAUGAGUUGGUUUGUGAUUUAGGGUUUAUCGAGAGUGUUUCAUUUAUUGAUUCGUUCCUCUGUUCUGUACCGCGGUGAAUUAAAGGAGUAACUAGAACUACCAUAUGUACUAGUUUGUUUUACUCGUCAAAUGAACAAGCUCAAUUAACUUUGCAUUCUGGUAGUUUUAGUUAGGAAUAGAUGGGGCAAGGAAAGGGGCAAUUGCUAAUAGCCAGAAUGAGCGCCUCAGGACAGUUGUAGUUUGAAACAGAUGAGUACUUCAUGCAUAAUUUAGCCAAUCUAAAGUUCAUAUUUGUAACUUGUUAAACUGACUUCUGAAUGCCUCUGAUAUUUGUCUGCAGCAUAGCAUCAUAGAGAUGCAUGGAUCUCCAUCCCUGCAUCACAUGUGUUUCAGCUUUCACGACCUGUUAGUAUAUUCUUAAUUGCUAGGUUGAAGUGAUAGUACUGAUGAAGAGAGAGAUGACUUAUUUGGGAUAAGUUGUGUAGACUAUAUAUGGUAAGCAUGCAUUAACGCCU
Molecule: small RNA, 671 nt
Filed under: Vigna angularis var. angularis
Lineage: Eukaryota; Viridiplantae; Streptophyta; Magnoliopsida; Fabales; Fabaceae
Description: Non-protein coding transcript
Source: RNAcentral